GUUCACGUGGACCUGGUGCAUCGAAUUUCAUCAUGAUUUUUUCUGAUUAUUCUCUUCAGUCGCUUAAGCUUCCACCCGACGAAACUCUUUCGCAUUCCUUGUGGAAGCCCUAGCAUCCGAGCUUCCCUAUUCAGCUGCUGCAAGCUUCCCACCCGAUUGAGACUCUUAGACAGAGAAAACAUAGGAAAAACUAGUAGAAAAUGAAGAAAAGACCG
This 215-nucleotide long non-coding RNA is filed under the name Elaeis guineensis (African oil palm). RNAcentral describes it as "long non-coding RNA (EGUI_LNC018947)". The record is from RNAcentral. Lineage: Eukaryota; Viridiplantae; Streptophyta; Magnoliopsida; Arecales; Arecaceae.